RNAcentral lists this unclassified non-coding RNA (326 nucleotides) under soil metagenome. Its description in RNAcentral is "partial contains 5.8S ribosomal RNA, internal transcribed spacer 2, and large subunit ribosomal RNA". The stretch from base 1 to 120 matches the Rfam family "5.8S ribosomal RNA", at positions 35 to 154 of the family's 154-position model. The record is from RNAcentral.
GAUGAAGAACGUAGCGAAAUGCGAUAAGUAAUGUGAAUUGCAGAAUUCAGUGAAUCAUCGAAUCUUUGAACGCACAUUGCGCCCCUUGGUAUUCCGAGGGGCAUGCCUGUUCGAGCGCCAUAUUAACCACUCCCGCUUGCGGGGUCUUGGGCUUCGCCUCCGGGCGGGCCUUAAAAUCAGUGGCGGUGCCGUCGGGCUCUACGCGUAGUAAAUUUUCUCGCGAUAGGGUCCCGGUGGAUGCUUGCCAACAACCCCCAACUUCUUAAGGUUGACCUCGGAUCAGGUAGGGAUACCCGCUGAACUUAAGCAUAUCAAUAAGCGGAGGA